Molecule: long non-coding RNA, 956 nt
Filed under: Pan troglodytes (chimpanzee)
Lineage: Eukaryota; Metazoa; Chordata; Mammalia; Primates; Hominidae
Description: lncRNA (ENSPTRG00000053006.1)
Source: RNAcentral
GUAGGAUCAAAGAAUAGAAGGGGAAAAAAUGAGGAGUGGAAAAGCUCGAUUUAACCUUUAAGUACAGAUAACUAUCAGGGUACGAAAAGGCAAGAAAACAUGACAAAAUGAAAGGAUUAUUGAUGGGCAAUAAAGGAAGCGUAGUAGGUUUACCUUGAGAUUUCACUGAGCUAAUAUACUGGCUCCCAUUUCUAUGUUUAUUGUAGGAAAAAGAGAAAAACACUAAUCCAGGGAUAGAGCUGACUAGGGAUGCCCAAGUCAAAAAGACUUUGUAGCACUGGGCUUGGCAGAGGGUCCUGAAGCUAAAUGCAGAAGACUGCGGGAAAUGUCUUCAACUGGGGCUAAAGGUCGUAAGCAAGGACAAUGAACCUGGAAUUUGGAGGAAUUCAUACUCCAGUGAAGAAUUUCCAGACCCCUCAUGAGAAUAGCAGAUUGCCUACUCACCAGAGAAUACUCAAGCUGAUACUAAGCAGCCCCUGGAGAGUAAGCAAAUGAUUAGAAGGGUAGAUUUCAGGCAAGCAAAAGGGUGAGAGCCCAGAAUCUCCAUGUGAAUGACCCUAAAAUUACAGCUAAUAUAGGAAGUGGCUUCCUUGUACCUCUAGAAAUUGAACUCUCAGAACCUGACUGACAGUCUGCUCUUAAGAACAUUACCUCAAUCUGGAGAGAAAUGUGUGUUUCUUCUCCUAUAUGGAUUUCAGACAGAAGCAGAAGGAGGGAUACCACUUUGGAUUCAUGUCAACGUCUUAAUAGGGGAAGUAAAGCAGUUUAUACGCCUCAGAGCACGGGUCCUCAAACCAGAAAAUCAGCGUGAAGGGGAGAAGGCCAGCCCUGCCUUGGACCGAUGGAAGCCACAUAGUCACGGACUCUUCUGGUGAGGACCAGAUGGCACAAUUUGCAGAGGGCAGGUUUAAUGUUGCUACCAUUUAGACUGGAAGGAAAACAUCUUUGAAGAAACA